RNAcentral lists this long non-coding RNA (4944 nucleotides) under Homo sapiens (human). Its description in RNAcentral is "non-protein coding lnc-MRPS25-5:2". The record is from RNAcentral. Lineage: Eukaryota; Metazoa; Chordata; Mammalia; Primates; Hominidae.
AUAUCAAGACACCAAAAUUAUUUAUAGCUGGGCAUUAAAAAUAUCUGACAUUUUUCUCCCCGCAAAGAUACUUUUCUUAAGCUCACACUUUAAUUAUUUGUAGACUGCUGUUAAGCUAAAUAGCCCCAAAGGAAACUUUUAAUUCAUUUAGAGACUGUCAAGUUUCCAAUUGCAUUUUAACUAGAAAGCCACUUUCAAUAGCGUGAUUGUCACGACAGGCUAUGACGGGGAAAGGUCGCACAAUCUUGUGGGAUGAGGCCAGUGAAAUAGAAGCUUUCUCUACAUCAAAAACAGGGAAGCUGAAGGCUAAAUGACCCACUGUCUCACAAAAGGCACUGAGUACUAUGGUCUCAUAAAGUGUUUUUAAAACAUUUUGAUAACUUAUUUUAAAAAGAAAAAGAGGAAACUGUGGAUUAUGUGAGUUUUUGCAGCAAUCUAGUGAUUCCUUCCAGCAGGCCCCUGCUUCCCAGGUCUAUGAGCAACUACUGCUGGGCCAGGCCCUGGCUCUCAAGGGCCGAGUCUCAGUUUAAGGCCAGAUUAAGGGGGAAAAUUCGUCCGAGUAGACCUGGACGAGGAAAAUUUGGUAUCUGUAGCUUUUAAGGGCACACAUAUCCAUAUUAAAAUGCAAUUCUUAUCUGAAAAUUUAAAAUCAUAACUUAUAGAAAGGAGUUAAAGUCAUUUACAUGCUUACAGUUAGAGAAGUAACUUGAGAUCUGUAGCUUAUAUGCCGCAGAAGUUAGCCAUCAACAUCCAUGCUUAGUUUUAAAGAAUAAUACUUGGUAGGUUGUUUAUUUUUAACUGGCGAUAGAAAGAUGGGAAUUACUAUUUAUUCAGUCAUAGGACAGUGCCCCACAUCUUGCUGACUGAGCACAGCGCAAGCCUGGGAAAUUGCUACCAUCUUUGGGAGUCAGGCCUCACUGACACAGACCGUUCUGAAUCUCUGACCGUGACGCCUGUCUCUGGGCUACUCAACAGAGCUGAAUAGCUGGGAAGGCUGAUGGCUCAACCCAACUGCCAAGUUCCUUCCAGAGUGGAGAUUCUGACUUCAUGGCCCUUCCCAGGCAGGCUCACCCAAAGGAAAAUGGAGUGAAGAAAAUCACCAGCAAAUCUUCCCUGCCGAGGGACCUUGGAACACCCAUAUCAGUUUACAUUAGCAACUUUAUGAAAAACUCUCUUUAAAGGAAAGUUUGGAUACAUGUCUGUAUACAUAAUAUACAUCUAUGUACACAUACACACACUAUAUACACUGUACAUAUGGAGAGGAUAUAAACACAUGUACAUUCAUUCAGUCUUACAGCCUAGAAACCUGUACACGCACAAUGCUGCUGAAGGGACCCAGGGCUGGACAUACGAAGUGCACGCUGGUGGGAGGCACACAAUGAGAAGGUCCAGACCCUGUGUACAAAAGACCCAAACCAACCCUGUCUUGAUGAGGGGUUGGCUUUAAAAAUUUACAUCAAAGUUAAGACAUUUUCAAAGAGCCUCAUAACUGAGAGAAUGGAAGCUGGAUAAAGGAAGCACGUGGGGCAUCUGCUCUGCUGGCUCAGGCAUUCCCAGGGCCCAGUGGGCACCGCCUUCCCUGGGAGAAAAGUGGCUGUCAGAUGAUGAGACUUCCUAUGACCUGGACUAAGAAAAGAGUUAAAAUGUUACCUAUGACCCCAUUGCACAUAAAGUCAUUUACACUGGAAAGUGGGCAACAAGCUUCUGGACUCCAAUGAGAUCAGGUCCCAGAACAUGGAUGUACACAUGUGGCAUGAACUGCUGAUUGCGGCCAGGGGCUGGAAGCCCUGCAGAGGGCGGGCUGUGAGCAAGAGUGCUCUGCAGGAAAUGUCCUCAAAGGACUAUGAAAGUAAAAGCACUAGAAACAGCUAGAGUCCUUAGAAUUUUUUGCUCCUUGCCGUAACUAUCCCCCAAACAAGUAAGACAGCUAAUAAGUAUGUGUGUAGCGUGGAUAUUGCCUUGAGAUUAAGGAGCCUAACGCAUCCACUGUUAACACCAUGGCUGGUGUCCUAACUGCCUCAGAAGAGUCCACAUUCAAUACUGACAAUGACAAGCUAAAAAUCAGUCCCUCUUGAGGGCAAUUACACAUCUUAGAAGUGACUACACCUGAAAUUAAAUAUAAAGCCCAGAACAGCAAAAGAACCUCAAACCACAGCCUUAUGGCAAGGGUUAGACAAUAAAUGUAACUCCUCAGGACACAGAAAUGUCAAAUUAGGAGAGUAUGGUAGGUAACACACUUCCUUAAAAACACCUUCCAGGAGUAACUUGAAAAGUAUUACUUGCUCAACUAAUUUGGUCUUUCAAAAAAUCUCUUCCUGUCCUGUUUUAUGCUAAUGUGUAAUGAUCUCCACCAUUUUCAACAUCUAUCUGUCUUAACCCAACAUUAUCUGAGAUACUUCUGGAAAAGAGCUCACUUAACUGAUGACAGCAUGUGUCUGUCCCACCUCUCUGAGCCAGCUGCCUCUCCUCAUUGAGGGAGGAGCAGCCAGGCCAGUAGAAGAGGGAGCAUGAACGUGGCUCCAUGGAGUUCAGUAGCCAGAGGACAGGUCUCACUUCAUGAAACCCAAAGUUUCACAAACUGCUAAUAAGGGCUAUAAGCCCUGUGAAAGUUGGAGCCCAAAUAUUUGGUUUGCAUCUCUUUAAGUAAUUCUUGACUUUGGGCUGACUUUACUUAACCAACCUGACAGGAGAUGAAAUGGACCUGCAGUCAGAGGCUUGAAAUGAGUUAAAGCAGCAAGAAUACAGGUUACGUGGACAUGAUCCUUAAAGAAAAGGCCACUUCAAAGUAAGGCCAAGAGGAUCUCAGAAACCAACCAAGAGGUGUUCAAAGCCCAAAACAGUCCCUGGAAUCAGCCAUCACCAGCAAGGGGACUUAAAGAGCAGGACCAGGUUAGAAUCAGCACCUUUCCAAGCAAAAUCACGUUUUCUGCAAGGUUGUUUCACCACAGCCCAACACUUCCUUAUCCAGCCUGAGUCUAAGCAGCCUACUGGCUGCCACUGAAUGACCUGGGAAUGAGAGGAGGGGCUGGUGGAGACCUUUUCACCAACACCAAGAACUGGGAUCUGAAAGCUGUUAUGCUUGUAUUCCCAGGGAACUGCAACAUGGCCCUCAUGGUCACUCUCAAGGAUCAAAACGACGGAAGGCAGGCAACAAUCUGUGUUAGAGGCACCACUGAGCUGCAGGAUGCCUGCUACUAAAAGCCUUCACAAGCAGAAAUGAAACAAACCUGCCCUAAUUCCAUUGUCUCAGCUGGUUUUUUGUCUUAAUUUUGAAACUGAAAACACAUCAGGGUUAGAAAAGUAAAAAUUACUUUAAGCUGGCAAAAUUAAAUCCUUUCCAUCAUUUUAUAAUGGCCACUCCCACUACUCUCCAAAAUUUGCUGCCAAGGCAAGAAUUAUAAAAUGAUAUAAUUAAAUCCAAACAAGAAUUUAGAAGUUGGAAACACUGUUCCCACUUACCCUACUAACACUGACUUGCGUAAAGUGCUGCUAACCCUUCAGGAUCAAGCAUCCUGUUCUGCCUUGAGCCUGCAGCAGCUUCCAUUCUGUCCAAUGUGGCACCACAGGGGCGUCUGUAGCUGGCCAGACUGCACCCCUGUGGAGCACAUGUGGCGCCAGCCUGAGCCAGAUCAGAGCACCUGUGAGUCAGGGGAGUGUCCAGGGAUCUUUUUGGAUAUCAUCUGAUUAACAAAUCAAGAGAGGCAAAUUUAACCCAACAGGGUGUAUUUUCUUAAUCUGGACUAUUUAAAAAGCAAAAGACAAAGCAAUUGACCGGGUCUUCCACAUGCCACUGUUCUCAAACAGGAAAAGCUUGCUAUAUAUUCACAUCCGUGGGAAUUUACGGGUGUUUGAAGUUAGACAUAACUUCCUUUUAAGCGCAUACUGUUCUUGCUGUAAACUCUGGUUGCUACAAUUUAUGAGGAGAAAGACUAUCACCCUGGAAAUUGAGGGUUGUUUUUAAGGAGCAAGCAGCCUGCAUUUAAAAUGCUCCGGGGUGGUCGGCUGGCACACACCUGGGGGAACCAAAGUGCACAGUGUGCUGGUAACAUUAACAGACUUGCCAACAGAGAUGCUGAGUCUAUACACAUUUUUAAAAUCUCUGGUAUUUAAGGUCAACAGGAAGAAAUUGUCCUGAAACCUUCCAUCCAGCUUUACCAGGCCCUAACCACUCUCGCCAGGCGGCAGCAGGCUCCUGCCCAGCCCCAAUCCAGCCUCACAGUUAUGAUGGAGCUGCAGAAACACGAGCCCUUUUCAAGGGGGCAUUUGGAGUGGAAAGCCCUGGGAAGGUAACGCUCACACUCCAAGGCCACACUCCUCCAUCUGGACAAACACACAAGCACCCCCAAUUGUAUUGGAAGUACUGUCAAGAGCUCAAAAUGCCCACCUUGCACUUUUUGGUCACAAGGCUCCAUCUGCCACGAGCGGCGGAUGUGACUUGGGGAUGUUUUCACUUGCUGGAGGAACUGUACAUCUCAUUUGGCAGUUAAUGUCUGACUAGUUGCAAUCCAAUUCAGAUAACCAGUCAUCAAAGGAGAACCCCAGGUUCUAGAGGAGUCUGCAGAUGCCCAUCAGAGACCAGGACCAAGUAGUCAGGGAACCUGACAAGUGUCUGCUCUAUGGCUAGAAGCUUCUGAACUGGGUCACCACCGACUGUGCUACCACACUCCCACUUACUGCAUGAUGCAAAUGAGCCACGUUUCCAUUCACAGAAUUCAGCUCAACUCCACAACAUGUGCACACAAUUAGGAAUGAUGCCUUCUUUUCUUAAACAUAAAUGAUUGUCUCCUGUACCCUAGUGAGUUUUCACAGAAAUCAUUAGCAUUUCGGCAAAAGACAUACACAGUUUUCCAUUUGCCCUGCCCACAGGCAAGAUGUUGCUAACGUUACACAUUGAUAAGUGCUUAGAAAGUGCUAAUAUUAUUACCCUGGUAAUUAGUAUCUAUA